RNAcentral lists this unclassified non-coding RNA (303 nucleotides) under plant metagenome. RNAcentral describes it as "partial contains 5.8S ribosomal RNA, internal transcribed spacer 2, and large subunit ribosomal RNA". The stretch from base 1 to 105 matches the Rfam family "5.8S ribosomal RNA", at positions 50 to 154 of the family's 154-position model. The record is from RNAcentral.
GAAAUGCGAUAAGUAAUGUGAAUUGCAGAAUUCAGUGAAUCAUCGAAUCUUUGAACGCACAUUGCGCCCGCCAGUAUUCUGGCGGGCAUGCCUGUUCGAGCGUCAUUUCAACCAUCAAGCCCCGCGCUUGUGUUGGGGACCUGCGGCUGCCGCAGGCCCUGAAAACCAGUGGCGGGCUCGCUGUCACACCGGGCGUAGUAGAUUUUAUCUCGCUCAGGGCGUGCUGCGGGUUCCGGCCGUUAAAAAGCCUUUUUUACCCAAGGUUGACCUCGGAUCAAGUAGGAAGACCCGCUGAACUUAAGC